UGGGGAAUAUUGGACAAUGGGGGCAACCCUGAUCCAGCAAUGCCGCGUGUGUGAAGAAGGUCUUCGGAUUGUAAAGCACUUUCGACGGGGACGAUGAUGACGGUACCCGUAGAAGAAGCCCCGGCUAACUUCGUGCCAGCAGCCGCGGUAAUACGAAGGGGGCUAGCGUUGCUCGGAAUGACUGGGCGUAAAGGGCGUGUAGGCGGUUUACACAGUCAGAUGUGAAAUCCCCGGGCUUAACCUGGGAGCUGCAUUUGAUACGUGUAGAC
Molecule: ribosomal RNA, 269 nt
Filed under: uncultured bacterium
Lineage: Bacteria
Description: partial 16S ribosomal RNA
Rfam family: Bacterial small subunit ribosomal RNA
Source: RNAcentral